AGUGAACGCUGGCGGUAGGCCUAACACAUGCAAGUCGAACGGCAGCACAGGAGAGCUUGCUCUCUGGGUGGCGAGUGGCGGACGGGUGAGGAAUACAUCGGAAUCUACUCUGUCGUGGGGGAUAACGUAGGGAAACUUACGCUAAUACCGCAUACGACCUACGGGUGAAAGCAGAGGAUCUUCGGACCUUGCGCGAUUGAAUGAGCCGAUGUCGGAUUAGCUAGUUGGCGGGGUAAAGGCCCACCAAGGCGACGAUCCGUAGCUGGUCUGAGAGGAUGAUUAGCCAAACUGGAACUGAGACACGGUCCAGACUCCUACGGGAGGCAGCAGUGGGGAAUAUUGGACAAUGGGCGCAAGCCUGAUCCAGCCAUACCGCGUGGGUGAAGAAGGCCUUCGGGUUGUAAAGCCCUUUUGUUGGGAAAGAAAUCCAGCUGGCUAAUACCCGGUUGGGAUGACGGUACCCAAAGAAUAAGCACCGGCUAACUUCGUGCCAGCCGCCGCGGUAA
This 506-nucleotide ribosomal RNA is filed under the name uncultured bacterium. Its description in RNAcentral is "partial 16S ribosomal RNA". It matches the Rfam family "Bacterial small subunit ribosomal RNA", at positions 29 to 523 of the family's 1533-position model. The record is from RNAcentral.